Molecule: long non-coding RNA, 621 nt
Organism: Nicotiana tabacum (common tobacco)
Lineage: Eukaryota; Viridiplantae; Streptophyta; Magnoliopsida; Solanales; Solanaceae
Source: RefSeq, a predicted model, not a curated record
UCAUUUAAGAGCCCUCAUAGAAUGCAUCUCUCUUGGCGUCUACACUCCAUCUCUCCACAUCGCUAUGUCGCCUCUCUCCGCAAAAACCCAGAACGACCGGGCUUGAAAUACUUAGAGAAAAAUGGUAGAUCUUCUUCGCUCGUCGGAAGUCCGCUAUGGAUUUAAAUUGCUCCGUAGUUAUUUUCAUCUCUUCCCAAAGAUCUGAUUUACUUCAAUCUACUUGUUUCAGAUUAUGCGCAAUAAUCGAUUUUGAAUCUUGGCUAUUGGAGCAUGUUUUCACUUGCAAAUGGCCUAAUUUUUCAAGCAACUUACUAAUCCAUCUUCGGACAUGUCGAGAUGCUAGCACAAGAGAUAAAAAGGAGCUGCAUCAGUUGAAGCAGUAGAAGACAAAAUAUGGCAGGAUAUACAUUAUGGUGUUUAAAAACUUAGCAUGUGACAAGACUUCAUUGUGAUCAAGAAUUGAAGAAUCUUUUAUGUCUUUUAUUGUCUUGUUAUAGUUAUUUGAUAGCACAAUUUAUUAGAUUCAAAAUAAUACUAUUUAGAUUCAAAUAUAUUAGCAUUUUUGUUAAGUUGACACUUUGAAUUUAUGAAUUAAUAUUUAUUUUUGUUUGUUGUGGAUUA